This is a non-coding RNA of Chanos chanos (milkfish), 745 nucleotides long. Lineage: Eukaryota; Metazoa; Chordata; Actinopteri; Gonorynchiformes; Chanidae. The record is from the annotation of a RefSeq genome assembly.
AUGACUUUCAUCACCAUCUUCAUCUGGACUCUGACUCUCUGUUUUCAUGAGUCCAGUGGACAGGUGACUGUGACUCAGACUCCUGAAGUGAAAUCUGCUCUUCUAGGAGACACGGUCACUAUUGACUGUAAGACCAGUCCUGCAGUGUACCGUGAUGGUGCUGGUGAUCAUUAUUUAUUCUGGUACCAACAGAAACCUGGACAGGCUCCUAAACUCCUGAUUAACUUGGCCAAUAAGUUAGAGUCAGGAAUUCCAGAUCGUUUCAGUGGCAGUGGAUCUGGGACUGACUUCACUCUGACCAUCAGAGGAGUCCAGACUGAAGAUGCAGGAGAUUAUUACUGUCAGAGUGUACAUGUUAUCAACUCUGUUAGAUACUGGACCAUUGGUGGAGGAACCAAACUGAAUGUUGGCAGUAACGCUCGGCCCACACUGACGGUACUGCCCCCUUCCAGUGAGGAGCUGAAGCAGGGGAAGGCCACACUCAUGUGCCUGGCCAACAAGGGCUUCCCCUCAGACUGGAAGCUGAGCUGGAAGGUGGAUGGUAAGAGCUGGAGUUCAGGGGUGAGCUCCAGCCCUGAGGUCCUACAGAAGGAUGGUCUGUACAGCUGGAGCAGCACCCUCACCCUCCAGGAGGAGCAGUGGACAAAGAUGUCAGUGACCUGUGAGGCCACACAGGGCUCCCAGUCUCCUGUGACCCAGACACUGAGGAGAGACCAGUGUUCUGAGGAGUGAGAACACACACACA